Molecule: non-coding RNA, 164 nt
Filed under: Bacteroides salyersiae
Lineage: Bacteria; Pseudomonadati; Bacteroidota; Bacteroidia; Bacteroidales; Bacteroidaceae
Source: RNAcentral
GAAAUAAUAAUUAAAAGGGAAUCAGGUGGGAAUCCUGAACAGUCCCGUUGCUGUGUGUUUCAUUAAAAUGUAGUAAAUACAUACUUCAUGCCACUGAAAGACCAAGAGUCGAUUGGGAAGGCGUUUACUAUAGAAACAAGUCAGAAGACCUGCCAUGCAAUAUG